AAAAGCAUCAGAUGGAUUAGGGCUGAUGCCACUAAACAUCAAGGUAGUUCAUGAGCUAAAUUAAAACUUGACUGAGUAGACACAAAUUUGCAAACAAGUAGCUAGGCAUUCUAAAUACACCUCUUCAAACAAGGCUUCACGUCUACAUACUAAUGCUCUGGGAAGAAACAUGGGGCUGCACCUGAUUUCAGAAGUACCAAAGGGUAAACUCUCAAUUACUGAGUUAUGCCUGUUAAUUACUGGCAUAGCUAACAAAGCUAUGUCCCAAGGCCUCUGAUAUAAAAAUCUUGUCCUUUAAUAUUUUUCUGAAAGGCUUUCAGAAAACAUACACAUAUAAAUGGAGUCUUGACUAGUUUUCAGUAUCAAUUUUUUUUUUAUCUACAGGAGCUUCCUAUGUUUCACAAUGAUGAUUGAUUUUGCUAGUGGUUGACAGUACUGUUCAUGACAUUUCCUGUAUUAGUUCCCCUUUGGCACUUGUAUUAGUUCUAUAUUCAAUAAAUGCUACAAAACCAAA
This 514-nucleotide non-coding RNA is filed under the name Pan troglodytes (chimpanzee). Lineage: Eukaryota; Metazoa; Chordata; Mammalia; Primates; Hominidae. The record is from RNAcentral.